GUCAGAAAAAGUUCAAAACAACUGCAGUUUUCAUCCAUAUUAACCCUUUCUUUUCCCAUAAAUUACUAGGAGAACAUGGAAUAAUGGUAAUAUCCACAAAAAUGAUAAUAUAACCACAAAAGAAAGAAUGAAGUUCCGAAGACAGGUGCACCAUAUUCAUUAAUAAGAAACUAAGCUUUCAUUAUUCUAUGAAAGUAAGUUUCAAGCAGAACCAACUCCAGACUUGUUUGUUAAAUUGAAACAUUCCUUU
RNAcentral lists this unclassified non-coding RNA (250 nucleotides) under Hevea brasiliensis (rubber tree). The record is from RNAcentral. Lineage: Eukaryota; Viridiplantae; Streptophyta; Magnoliopsida; Malpighiales; Euphorbiaceae.